CCCUUAGAUGUUCUGGGCAGCACGCGCGCUACAAUGGUCUUCGCAAACGGAUGCAUUCUCGAAGGAGAAUGCCAAUCUUGGAAUCUAUGCCUUGGUCGGGACAGUUGCUUGCAAUUUUUCGACUCGAACCAGGAAUUCCUUGUAAUCGUGAUUCAUCACAUCACGAUGAAUACGUCCCUGCCCUUUGUACACACCGCCCGUCGCUCCUACAGAUCGAAGAGUUAGGUGAAUUGUUUUGAUCGAUAAGAUUUGACUAUGGUCAACUCUCGUUGUGAAAUUCUGUGAAUCUGACUGUUUAGAGGAAGGAAAAGUCGUAACA
Molecule: ribosomal RNA, 319 nt
Filed under: uncultured eukaryote
Lineage: Eukaryota
Description: partial 18S ribosomal RNA
Rfam family: Eukaryotic small subunit ribosomal RNA
Source: RNAcentral